GAGCGGGUGGAUGUCAAUGAGAGCUCAUUGACUGUUCCCUUGAUAUAUAGCCGCUCAGC
Molecule: microRNA precursor, 59 nt
Organism: Gadus morhua (Atlantic cod)
Lineage: Eukaryota; Metazoa; Chordata; Actinopteri; Gadiformes; Gadidae
Source: Ensembl